GCAUAACGCGAAGAACCUUACCAGGUCUUGACAUCCCCCUGACCGGUACAGAGAUGUACCUUUCCUUCGGGACAGGGGAGACAGGUGGUGCAUGGUUGUCGUCAGCUCGUGUCGUGAGAUGUUGGGUUAAGUCCCGCAACGAGCGCAACCCUUGACUUUAGUUGCCAGCAGGUAAGGCUGGGCACUCUAGAGUGACUGCCGGUGACAAACCGGAGGAAGGUGGGGAUGACGUCAAAUCAUCAUGCCCCUUAUGACCUGGGCUACACACGUACUACAAUGGCCGGUACAACGGGAAGCGAAGGAGCGAUCUGGAGCGAAUCCUUUAAAGCCGGUCUCAGUUCGGAUUGCAGGCUGCAACUCGCCUGCAUGAAGUCGGAAUUGCUAGUAAUCGCGGAUCAGCAUGCCGCGGUGAAUACGUUCCCGGGUCUUGUACACACCG
RNAcentral lists this ribosomal RNA (439 nucleotides) under uncultured bacterium. Its description in RNAcentral is "bacterial SSU rRNA". It matches the Rfam family "Bacterial small subunit ribosomal RNA", at positions 954 to 1392 of the family's 1533-position model. The record is from RNAcentral.